GAUGAAGAACGCAGCGAAAUGCGAUACUUGGUGUGAAUUGCAGAAUCCCGUGAACCAUCGAGUCUUUGAACGCAAGUUGCGCCUCAAGCCAUUAGGUUGAGGGCACGUCUGCCUGGGCGUCACAUAUCGUUGCCUGAUGCCAGUUUCCUCGUGAUGGGUGACUGUGCAGGGCGAAUGAUGGCUUCCCGUGAGCAUUGUUGCCUCAUGGUUGGUUGAAAAUUGAGUCCUUGGUAGGGAGCGCCGUGAUAGAUGGUGGUUGAGUGACGAACGAGACCCAAUCAUGUGAGACCCCUACCGAAUUUGGCCUUCAUGACCCACAUGCGUCUUUGGAACGCUCAUGACGAGACCUCAGGUCAGGCGGGGCUACCCGCUGAGUUUAAGCAUAUCAAUAAGCGGACGA
This 400-nucleotide unclassified non-coding RNA is filed under the name soil metagenome. RNAcentral's name for it is "partial contains 5.8S ribosomal RNA, internal transcribed spacer 2, and large subunit ribosomal RNA". The stretch from base 1 to 122 matches the Rfam family "5.8S ribosomal RNA", at positions 35 to 154 of the family's 154-position model. The record is from RNAcentral.